Molecule: unclassified non-coding RNA, 354 nt
Filed under: soil metagenome
Description: partial contains 5.8S ribosomal RNA, internal transcribed spacer 2, and large subunit ribosomal RNA
Rfam family: 5.8S ribosomal RNA (bases 1-120)
Source: RNAcentral
GAUGAAGAACGUAGCGAAAUGCGAUAAGUAAUGUGAAUUGCAGAAUUCAGUGAAUCAUCGAAUCUUUGAACGCACAUUGCGCCCGCCAGUAUUCUGGCGGGCAUGCCUGUUCGAGCGUCAUUACAACCCUCAGGCCCCCGGGCCUGGCGUUGGGGAUCGGCGGAAGCCCCCUGCGGGCACAACGCCGUCCCCCAAAUACAGUGGCGGUCCCGCCGCAGCUUCCAUUGCGUAGUAGCUAACACCUCGCAACUGGAGAGCGGCGCGGCCACGCCGUAAAACACCCAACUUUUACCGAGUUGACCUCGAAUCAGGUAGGAAUACCCGCUGAACUUAAGCAUAUCAAUAAGCGGAGGA